This 424-nucleotide ribosomal RNA is filed under the name Hoylesella oralis. RNAcentral describes it as "bacterial SSU rRNA". It matches the Rfam family "Bacterial small subunit ribosomal RNA", at positions 28 to 433 of the family's 1533-position model. The record is from RNAcentral. Lineage: Bacteria; Pseudomonadati; Bacteroidota; Bacteroidia; Bacteroidales; Prevotellaceae.
GAUGAACGCUAGCUACAGGCUUAACACAUGCAAGUCGCGGGGCAUCAUGGAGGUUGCUUGCAAUUUCUGAUGGCGACCGGCGCACGGGUGAGUAACGCGUAUCCAACCUUCCCAUUACUACGGCAUACCCCGUUGAAAGGCGGCCUAAUUCCGUAUGCAGUCCGAAGCAGUCAUCUAAUUUGGACGAAAGGUAUAUUCUAUCGGUAAUGGAUGGGGAUGCGUCCGAUUAGCCAGCCGGCGGGGUAACGGCCCACCGGGGCAUUGAUCGGUAGGGGUUCUGAGAGGAAGGUCCCCCACACUGGAACUGAGACACGGUCCAGACUCCUACGGGAGGCAGCAGUGAGGAAUAUUGGUCAAUGGGCGUAAGCCUGAAACCAGCCAAAGUAGCGUGCAGGAUGACGGCCCCUAUGGGUUGUAAAACUGC